This 496-nucleotide ribosomal RNA is filed under the name uncultured bacterium. RNAcentral's name for it is "partial 16S ribosomal RNA". It matches the Rfam family "Bacterial small subunit ribosomal RNA", at positions 28 to 506 of the family's 1533-position model. The record is from RNAcentral.
GAUGAACGCUGGCGGCGUGCCUAAUACAUGCAAGUCGAGCGAACAGACGAGGAGCUUGCUCCUUCGACGUUAGCGGCGGACGGGUGAGUAACACGUAGGUAACCUACCUAUAAGACUGGGAUAACUUCGGGAAACCGGAGCUAAUACCGGAUAAUAUUUCGAACCGCAUGGUUCGAUAGUGAAAGAUGGCUUUGCUAUCACUUAUAGAUGGACCUGCGCCGUAUUAGCUAGUUGGUAAGGUAACGGCUUACCAAGGCAACGAUACGUAGCCGACCUGAGAGGGUGAUCGGCCACACUGGAACUGAGACACGGUCCAGACUCCUACGGGAGGCAGCAGUAGGGAAUCUUCCGCAAUGGGCGAAAGCCUGACGGAGCAACGCCGCGUGAGUGAUGAAGGUCUGCGGAUCGUAAAACUCUGUUAUUAGGGAAGAACAAACGUGUAAGUAACUGUGCACGUCUUGACGGUACCUAAUCAGAAAGCCACGGCUAACUACGU